CAUUUUGAUUUAAACUUGCAGUUCUUUUACAGGCACCGUACAGUAAUAGAGGUAUUGGAAAACAGCCUUAUUUAAGCAAGAGUCUACUUGAAACAGAUAAACAAUGCACCCUAACACCCUGACAGCUCUGAGAAAUCCCGCAAUGAACUACUUCAAUACUGACCAGCAACUUGAAAGACCCCUUGGAUCUAGAGAGCUCCUCAUGCAUAUAUAUAUGGCUAUGUGACAACUUUUGCCAACAGAAUGGCACUGACAGAAGACUGAGUGGUGGAAGCAAAGAGAAACCCUGGAAGCUACUAGACCUCCCCCAGUGUCUGGUGCCACUGGACAGCCAUUUAUUCUGCAGUCCUAGACCCUGACUGACAGUCUCCAACAUGACUCUCCAGAUGAACUCAGAAAACAACUCUGCUCCUUCUGAUUGUCCCUCCAAGUCUAGGAAUGGUAGCAGCUUCCAGUGGUUGCUAAUUUGAGAGAUGGUUUACCACCCUCUGCCAAGCUUCUCAGCUUUUCCAUCUUCUG
This is a long non-coding RNA of Pongo pygmaeus (Bornean orangutan), 519 nucleotides long. RefSeq lists it as uncharacterized. The record is from RefSeq and is a predicted model, not a curated record. The transcript has 4 exons. Lineage: Eukaryota; Metazoa; Chordata; Mammalia; Primates; Hominidae.